GCAUGGAGCGCGGAUCUUCAGAGAUUAGAGUUUGAUCAUGGCUCAGGAUUAACGCUAGCGGCAGGCCUAAUACAUGCAAGUCGAACGGGAUUCAAGGUAGCAAUAUUUUGAUGAGAGUGGCGCACGGGUGAGUAACACGUAUGCAAUUUGCCUUUAACUGGGGAAUAGCCCUCCGAAAGGAGGAUUAAUACCGCAUAACAUUUCAGAAUGGCAUCAUUUUGAAAUUAAACCUCCGGGGGUUAAAGAUAAGCAUGCAUCCGAUUAGGUAGUUGGUGUGGUAACGGCACACCAAGCCAACGAUCGGUAGGGGGUCUGAGAGGAUGAUCCCCCACACUGGUACUGAGACACGGACCAGACUCCUACGGGAGGCAGCAGUAAGGAAUAUUGGACAAUGGAGGCAACUCUGAUCCAGCCAUGCCGCGUGAAGGAAUAAGGCCCUAUGGGUUGUAAACUUCUUUUAGACGGGACAAAACCCCUUUACGUGUAAAGGGUUGAUGGUACUGUCAGAAUAAGCAUCGGCUAACUUCGUGCCAGCAGCCGCGGUAAUACGAAGGAUGCAAGCGUUAUCCGGAAUUAUUGGGUUUAAAGGGUGCGUAGGCGGACUGAUAAGUCAGUGGUGAAAGCCUGCAGCUUAACUGCAGAAUUGCCGUUGAUACUGUCAGUCUUGAGUACAGUUGAGGUAGGCGGAAUGUGUCAUGUAGCGGUGAAAUGCUUAGAUAUGACACAGAACACCGAUUGCGAAGGCAGCUUGCUAAGCUGUAACUGACGCUGAGGCACGAAAGCGUGGGGAGCAAACAGGAUUAGAUACCCUGGUAGUCCACGCCCUAAACGAUGAUAACUCGCUGUUGGCGAUACACAGCCAGCGGCCAAGCGAAAGCAUUAAGUUAUCCACCUGGGGAGUACGACCGCAAGGUUGAAACUCAAAGGAAUUGACGGGGGCCCGCACAAGCGGAGGAGCAUGUGGUUUAAUUCGAUGAUACGCGAGGAACCUUACCUGGGCUUGAAAGUUAGCGACCGACUCCGAAAGAGUCUUUCAGAAUGACGCGAAACUAGUGCUGCAUGGCUGUCGUCAGCUCGUGCCGUGAGUGUUGGUUAAGUCCCGCAACGAGCGCAACCCCUUAUUCUUAGUUGCCAUCAGG
This 1139-nucleotide ribosomal RNA is filed under the name uncultured bacterium. RNAcentral's name for it is "bacterial SSU rRNA". It matches the Rfam family "Bacterial small subunit ribosomal RNA", at positions 1 to 1125 of the family's 1533-position model. The record is from RNAcentral.